This is a long non-coding RNA of Metopolophium dirhodum (rose-grain aphid), 5452 nucleotides long. RefSeq lists it as uncharacterized. The transcript has 3 exons. The record is from RefSeq and is a predicted model, not a curated record. Lineage: Eukaryota; Metazoa; Arthropoda; Insecta; Hemiptera; Aphididae.
CGCCAGCAAAACAUCUGCCGGCGGCCUGUACCGCAGAAACAUUGCGCGAACAAUAUUAUAUUAUAAACAACAUUUUUGUACAUUGUCACUCGAGUGUUAUUAUUGUUAUUAUAAUGUGGCGGGCAUAGACCUAUAAACAAGUUUAUAGGAGGCGGGCGGGCCAUAACCACAAAAUGUUUUCUCCUCGUAGUCUGUAGGCAGUGUAAGGACGGUUGGUCAUAUUGGCUUGCUGAUGCCGCCGACGGACGUCGGGCGUCGCAUUGUUACGGCGACGACGUCAGACCCGCCACCCACCACUGCACACUCGCUAAUCGUUCACUACUGACUACUGUGGUACUGUCUACUCUCAGUUUCUCGGUCCGUCGCUCUAGCAGUCUACCGUAACUCGUAAGUGGUGCGCAUGUCGGUUAGUUAUACAGUUUCUUUUAACUCGCUGUUACGUAGCCCGUACAUAACAAAACCUUGUCUUGCCCCUCAGACGCGGCGAUACGACACAACAACAACCGCCGCCGCCGCCGCCGCCGCCGUCUCCCCUCCACGCAACUAGGAACGCCAACUGACGCCGUAUAAUAUUGACGUGUACAACUGUGUACUGCGUAGCGUCGUACGGCAUCGGUGCACUGCGGACCGGUCGGCCAUUUUUUUCAUUAGCGUCACUCCUUCCUCGCCGGUACUGCUCUGUUCAAGACGUGUGCGCACUGUGUUCGUCUCAUCGCCUCCAAACCCGAAGGUCAUCGUUUUCCUGUACUGAACUAUACCAUCGGCCAACGUAACAUUAACCUGUCCUUUCGACGGCGAGAACUUGUUGAUUCGGUAACGUAGAGUGCAGUACUUCGGUCUCGCCAUGAAAGCUGUGGACACUGACCACAUCCAGGGCAAGGACAAUGGCUGUUCGUCGUGCAGAGUAUCCGGAUCUGUUACCUUGUUACUGGUUGCUGCUUAUUUUUACUUCGGCUGCAAGCACGUGAAACCCGUGUAUUACUUCGGAACCCCGAGUAUGUAUGAAACAAUACAUAAAAUCACGGAAUUAUAUAUUAAUUAAUUAUCCUUCAAAAAUUUGCGAUUUUACGUUUAUAUGCUUGUGAACAACACUGCAUUUUACUGCUGUGCACAGUGCAUAUAACAAAUUUUGAUUUUUUUUUAAUGUACCUUUAUAGUUAAGGAUGCUGAAAAUGAUGGUGAAGGACUGGCAGUCGGACUUAGUUUUAAAGUUAUAGCUAAAUGAAACUUACAGUAUUUUCAUAUACACACAGUGUGGUCUUGUUAUGUAAAACCACACCUUAAACUACAAACUAGCGACUGGUUGGUGGUGGAGCUGGUCAGUGUUGUCGUAUGAUUCAAUGGUGACAAUAAUAUUGGGGGCCAGAAUGCACUUUGUGCUAUGCUAGCUUAUGACGACAGCGACGGUGACAGCGAUAGCCGCUGGCGGCCGUGAGUCGAGUGUGCGAACACUGCCGUGUGAGUGAGGGGGUCGAGGAUAAGAUAUUACAUAAUAUUGUUGUUGUCGUUAAUAAUAAUAAUCGCGCGUUCACUUUUAAUAAUCAUAAUAAUAACCGCAACUUUUACAUAAUAAUCACUUGGUUUGGGGAAUUUUUGUUAUACUAUCAAUAAUAUAAGAGGCCCAAAUUCUGUAACGUUACAACAUUAAAACUAAGUCUGACUGCCAAAUUCUGACUAUACCAUCAUUUUCAGCAUGUUUGACUAAACACAUACGUUAAAAAAGAAAAAAAAAAUUUGUUAAAGGCGCUUUUAGUAUCAGUAAAAUGAAGUGUUGAGCGUGGCAUAUAAUAUAAAUUCGCAAACUUUAGAAAUGUAACUUCCUAAAUAAUUACAUUUUUUUUUCGCACCAUCAAUCUUAACUCUAUUUCAAAAAUUCAAAAAAAAAAAAUGACUAGACUACAAUAUAACAAAAUUAUUCCGGUUUUCUAGAAGGAUACACUAUUUGACGUCGGUCGUGAACGUGUUAAUAUAAAUUAUCUCGUAAAUAAUACUGACAUUUUACGUUUUUUUUUAAAAAGAACCAAUUUAAUUUUGAAAUACAAAAAUAUACUGAUUUAAAUUUUGUGAUUUAAAAUACCGGGGGACCAAAUGAAGAGGUGGGUGCAACAACCAGACAUCUCCAUAUUAUGAAAAUGUUCAGGAGAGACAAAAUAGUGUUUUAAAAAAUAACUAAAAAUUUUAAAAAAUUGUAAAAAAUAUAAUUGAAAUCUAAUUUUGGGCUUAUAAUUGAUGCCAACACCCAAAUUGUCAAAAAAAAAUUUCUGUACUCACCAAACCAAAAACAAUUUGGAAAUGUCUGGUUGUUGCACUAAAAAUGUUAUCAUCGGUAAUAUAACAUUAUAGUAUAUGCAUUGUUUUAAACAUUGAUACAUCUAUACAAAUAAAUAACAAAAAGGUACAUGUUUUUUUGUUAAAAUAAAAAUGUUUCCUUCAUUUUAUUAGUAUUUAUAAAACAAGUUAUAAUAGUAUUCAUGAAAAAAAAAUAUAUAAAAUAUAAAUAACAGAAAACUGUAAGUAAGUACUUGCUUCUUUUUUAAAAUAAAACUGUUACCUUCAUUUUAUUAAUAGGUAUUUAAAAACAAUAAAAUAAAACAAUUUAUAAUAAUAGUUAACAAUAUAAAAAUUAAAUAAUAAAAAAUAGUAGUAGGUAUACAUGUUUUUUGUUUAUAUACAAAACAAAUUACUUAUAUUAUUCAUGAAAAAAAAAACUAAUAUAAAAUAUAAAUAAAAAAUAACAGUAAUUUUGUUUUACUAUUCAUCAGAGUUGUCUUCAUGUGGUAAAUCGUUUGAUUCAAGAGCAUUAUAAAACCAGAGAUUGUCAGGUGGGACAUACUUAGACGCCAAAUCCCUUACAUCUAAUAAUUUAGCUUCUUUUAUUUUGAGAGGACUAUUAUAAAGAAUACUUAAAGGUCCUGGUAGACUUAACUGUGCAUUUGGUUUAUGUAAUUUGAAAAGUUCUUUGGCAGUGGAAUGAACCUAUAUACUUGCAAACAAACCAUCUUUAGUAUACUCCAUAAAUCGGUAUGAUAAAAUGGAAAAAUGUUUAACUGUUUUUUUAAAAAAAGGUUUUGUAUGAUCUGUAUAAUUUAGUAUUGUAUCUUGUUUUACAUCAAUAACAUUGAAGCUUUUACAUGUAUCUUUGACAAGUUUUUGGUAAGUGGCUGGUAAAAAAACAUAUUCUAAUUUUCUUUUAUUUUUUUCGAUUAAUGCAAAAGCUUUAUCACAAGGUAAAAAACUAUGUCCAGGUUGUGGAUAUCGAUGUACUAUAGUUUUUAUACCAAAUUUUUUUGUUAAUGCUAAUGUGUAAAAGUACUGUGUUAGACCAAAGUUUUUAUUUUGUGUGCUACAGUUGUCAGAAAACAAAUAUACAGUCUCAACACUUUUAUCCAUUAUAUUGGAAAAAAAAUGAUUUAUAAAGUUUAUAACUUCAUUUUGGCCCUUGCGACCUGUAGCUUCGUCAUACAUAUAAAAAUAUGAUUUUCCUGUUUUCCCUGAAUGUAUACAAAAAUUGUACACCCACAGUUGCCUUUUAUAAUAAACAUCUCCACUUGGUAUUUGGGGCAGUGGCAUAUUUUGUUGAUAAUCAAAUGAUAAAACUUCACAUUUGUUGUUUGGAUCCUUGGAUUCUAUAGUUUUUUCUUUUAAGUCAGUAUAAAAUACUUCAGCUUUAGAAAGGUGCAAUUGUUUUUCAGUCUGUAGUUUAUUUUUUAAUUCUUCAUUUGUUUCCACUUUAAUUAAAUUUUGAAGCUUAUCACACACCUGACAGGUGUCAGAACGUGGAUAGCCAAAAGAAAGUUUAAAAUUGGUUAAAAAGUAUCUUCGAUAGAAGUCAUAGGAAAGAUUUGGUUUUAUAUUUUCAUAUUCUAGUACUUGUUGCCAAUUUUCAUUUUCAUAUUUCAACAUGUAAAGCUCAUACAUUUUAUACAUAAAAGGUAAUAGGUAUCGAACAGAUUCAUUUUUAUUGCGGCUGUAAUGGGAUUCAUGAGCAGGAAAACUUCUAAUAUGGGUGUCUACCUGAAAAAUAGUUUUCUCACUUUUAGAAUUUCCUCUAUUCAUAUGUUUUCCGCGCUUAUCUACUGGACUUGGUAUAUUAUCCUGUAUUGAUUUUAUGAUCCGUUCCACUCUAGAUUUAUGUAUACCAAACAGAGAACAGAAUGCUUUCUUACACACUACUUUUUCACUUUGAUCAACUCUGAUUUUAUAAAUACAAGCACAUGAUUUAGGUUUACUAGAGUCCUUGGGUCGUUUUCUUAUAAUUUUAUUCACUUUUAUUAAGCCUCCAAGAAAAGUAUCUUGUUUCUCCUUGUGUCCUAUUUCAUUAAAUAAAUUUAAAAUUUUACUUUUUUCGCUGUCAAGUACUUUGGUAAAACAUUUGUGGAUACAUUGACAGUCAGGUCCUGUUACUCUUGGCAUAACAUGUUUUCCACGUAAACUUACAUGGUCUACACCAGUUGCAUUCAAACUUUUACUCACAUUUCGUCUCCAUCUAUGAAUAUUCUUACGUUUUUUUUUACCUUGAGUACUGUUUUCUUCAUCGGAAUCUUCUAUGAUACGAACGCCGUCAUCUUCGACAUUGACAUUAUUAUUGUUAUUUAUUGUUUCUAGGUCACUAUCAUAAGCCAAAAUAUUACCUAGAUUGCUAUUAAAAUCAGAUAGGAUAGAUAUAUCAGACACUUCAAUCGGCGAGAAUGGAUUGUAAUCGGAAUCAUCAAAACUAUUCGAAAACGUAGUCGGAACACUCGAAACACUCAUUUUUAUCACAAAAUGUUACAUCUAACUGGUUAGUAGGUACUAAAGUAGAAAGUAGGAACUAAACUACGUCUUUUAUACAUCUAACAACAACUAACUUGUAAUAAGUUUAAAGUUAAUAAAACUACAAAUCUAAUAAAACUAAAGGAACAAUAUUUAUUAUUUAGAAAAUAGAAAUUAAUAUAUUAUGAUAACAUUGAUUUCAUAUCAGUGAUAAGAACAGUCAUUACAGUAUGACCAAUAUUCGGCGCAACAACAAGACAUCUCCGGAGAAGUCUUGUUGUUGUAACAAAAAAUAAAAGAGACAUCUCCGUUUGUAUUAUAUCUCCGUAUCUAAUGUUCGUAUAUGUCUGAUUGUUGCACCAAUCGAUCGAGAUUUUUUUUUUCUAUAGGAAAAGUGAAAAAAGUGAUUUUCGAAAAAAAGUGGAGAUGUCUGGUUGUUGCACCCACCUCUUCAUUAAUAUCCUAUGGAUAAAUAACUCCUGGGGGGCCAAAUGUUCUAUCUUAAAUUUUUGACUGUGAUAACAUAUUCAUGAACUGGUUUCUUCUGCGGGGAAAAAACGUCUGUAUACCCAAUACAUCAUACUAUUUUGCAUGUCGUUUGAACACUAAAACAUGGUGUGUGCCAAUAUUGGUAAAAUAUUAAUGUUUCCAUACGUCAUACUACCUCCUAUAUUAUUAUUUGCAAUGUCUGGGGCUUAUA